GAUCAUGGCUCAGGAUGAAUGCUAGCGACAGGCUUAACACAUGCAAGUCGAGGGGCAGCACGGUGUAGCAAUACACUGGUGGCGACCGGCGCACGGGUGAGUAACACGUGUGCAACCAACCCCGUACCGGGAGAUAACCCGCGGAAACGUGGACUAACAUCCCAUAACACUCUAGAGCCGCAUGGUUCUGGACUUAAAAUUCCGGUGGUACGGGACGGGCACGCGCGACAUUAGGUAGUUGGCGGGGUAACGG
Molecule: ribosomal RNA, 253 nt
Filed under: uncultured bacterium
Lineage: Bacteria
Description: partial 16S ribosomal RNA
Rfam family: Bacterial small subunit ribosomal RNA
Source: RNAcentral